UACGGAGGGUGCAAACGUUGCUCGGAAUCAUUGGGCGUAAAGCGCACGUAGGCGGACCGCUAAGUCGGAUGUGAAAGCCCUCGGCUUAACCGAGGAAGUGCACUCGAAACUGACGGUCUUGAGUAUGGAAGAGGGUCGCGGAAUUCCUGGUGUAGCGGUGAAAUGCGCAGAUAUCAGGAGGAACACCGGUGGCGAAGGCGGGUCUCUGGGCCGAUACUGACGCUGAGGAGCGAAAGCGUGGGGAGCGAACAGG
RNAcentral lists this ribosomal RNA (253 nucleotides) under uncultured bacterium. Its description in RNAcentral is "partial 16S ribosomal RNA". It matches the Rfam family "Bacterial small subunit ribosomal RNA", at positions 524 to 776 of the family's 1533-position model. The record is from RNAcentral.